Long non-coding RNA from Amphimedon queenslandica, 120 nucleotides. RefSeq lists it as uncharacterized. The transcript is spliced from 2 exons. NCBI's taxonomy places the organism in Eukaryota, Metazoa, Porifera, Demospongiae, Haplosclerida, Niphatidae. The record is from RefSeq and is a predicted model, not a curated record.
CUCCUGAUAAAUAUGCAGCAGUCAAUGGAAAUAGGAAGUCCACUACUCAAGAGCUGAUCAUGGAUAGGUUAGGUGGUCUGGAUAUUCCUCCUCCAAUACUACCAAAACCAAAACCUUAAA